AGGAGCCAUGGCAGCAACAGCAGAUACAUGCUAGGAAUAUCUCCUGACGAGAGAGCAAGAGCAAGGGUACAUGUCUGCUGCUGAAGUCUGACUGUACUUAGUGGAAGCUUUGCAAAAGAUACACCAGCAAGACUAGCACAGAUAGUACUCUCAAAAGAAAUAAUAAUAAUAUAAGUUAUUCAGGAUUACUCUGAAAAAGGAUGGCCUUAACGCUGUCAGGACCUUGGUGGAAGUCUGUGGGAGUUUGCUUUAACUGUAAGCUGCAGGAAACUGAAAAAUGGAGUCUGAUGAUACAGUAAGAAGGACACCAGCACCUCUCCUUUCUCCUUGAGGAGGGAACAUGCAGUUCCCAUGAAAGAAGAUCAGAUCAAGACCCAUUGGAUCAACUGUCUGUCUGGAAGCAUUUUUGUAAGAGGCAAAGAUAAAGGACCAUCUCAAGAAUCAGGAAGAGGUUAAGGGCACACAGAAGAGAAAAGAGGGAGAAGACCGAGGUUGGGCAGGGACCACAGAGGCUCCAAAAGUCGUGGCACUGAGUACAAGCCCUACAGCUGCGUGACAGAACAUGUCAGCAUUGCUAAUGGUAAUCUGGGGAGUGAAGCUUUUUCCGGGACCAAUUGAUUGUAAUCAUAUUCUGCAUUAGCACUGCUUUCUGAAAGGGCAUCUGGAGCUCAAGGUUCAAAGGAGGAUUGCAGCCCUGCUUUUCUUUUUAGUGUCCCUUAUGUUAAAGGCUUCCAAGACUAAGUGGUUGGCCUCGUCUUACUAUUACAACUCCUCACUCCUCCUGAGAGUUUAUGUGCUCGUUAGCAGUGAGAUCCUCUAAGGAGGGGUUGCUGUGCCAUUAACUCAGUUGGAAAUGUAAGAAUGGACCUUGCUGAGUGAAUAUUUAUGUCUGAAUGAUGCUUAACAUACUUGGCAUACUGCUAGGAAUACUUCACUAAUAAUAACUCACAGUAAUGUCUCAAGUAGAGAUCGUUAUAAACACGGAAGAGGAAAGAAGCAAGAGGUGUAGAACAUUAUGGCUGUCCAUUCAUCUUGGAUCAUUUUCAGGAAAAUCCUUCAACAGGCAUAUCUGAGUUAAAAAUUGCUUUUGCUGCUGCCACAAGUUCCAAUUAGUGAAAAGAAAUGAUCUGUUCUCUACUGCAUUUUGAAUGAAGAGGUAAUUUUGUGUGUUCUUUUAUUUAUUUUUUUUCUUUUCAGAUAAUGUCACUGAAACAUUAAAGAGGAUAGCUGAAUAACAAAGAAUAUGAAAAUGCCAAUUGCUCUUCUCUGGUCUUCAAUUUAUUUUGCAGACCAUAGUGGGCACAGACACAUUAGUUAUAGGUGCACAUGACAUGUCCUCUGGGUUCUAUCUCACUUCUGUCAUUUUAAAAUGAGGCUGGAAGCAUUCCUCUGCUCUCUUUUUACCAGUCAUUCCCAGCCCUUUAGCACCAUCAUCACUUCACUGCUUUACAUUAUAAAUACCUCCACCAACUGUCUUGUAAGGACAGAGACUGCUACUGUAUCCAUGUGAUUCAUGGGAAACCGAAUGAGGACAGUACUUAGUGGUUUAUCCAAGGU
Molecule: long non-coding RNA, 1557 nt
Organism: Lagopus muta (rock ptarmigan)
Lineage: Eukaryota; Metazoa; Chordata; Aves; Galliformes; Phasianidae
Exons: 4
Source: RefSeq, a predicted model, not a curated record